AGCGAACGCUGGCGGCAGGCUUAACACAUGCAAGUCGAGCGCCUGUAGCAAUACAGGAGCGGCAGACGGGUGAGUAACACGUGGGAACGUGCCUUUUGGUUCGGAAUAACUCAGGGAAACUUGAGCUAAUACCGAAUAAGCCCUUCGGGGAAAGAUUUAUCGCCGAAAGAUCGGCCCGCGUAAGAUUAGCUAGUUGGUGAGGUAAUGGCUCACCAAGGCUACGAUCUUUAGCUGGUCUGAGAGGAUGAUCAGCCACACUGGGACUGAGACACGGCCCAGACUCCUACGGGAGGCAGCAGUGGGGAACAUUGGACAAUGGGCGCAAGCCUGAUCCAGCCAUGCCGCGUGAGUGAUGAAGGCCUUAGGGUUGUAAAGCUCUUUUAGCAGGGACGAUAAUGACGGUACCUGCAGAAAAAGCCCGGCCAACUUCGUG
Molecule: ribosomal RNA, 433 nt
Filed under: uncultured bacterium
Lineage: Bacteria
Description: bacterial SSU rRNA
Rfam family: Bacterial small subunit ribosomal RNA
Source: RNAcentral